Molecule: small RNA, 5816 nt
Filed under: Pongo abelii (Sumatran orangutan)
Lineage: Eukaryota; Metazoa; Chordata; Mammalia; Primates; Hominidae
Description: retained intron
Source: RNAcentral
CUGGACCAGUACUCGGAGGAUUUCUGUCAACCUCCGGACUUCCCCUGCCUCAAGCAGCUGGUGGCCUACGUGCAGCUCAACAUGCCAGGCUCAGACCUGGAGCGCCGUGCCCACCUUCUCCUGGCCCAGCUGGAGCACUCGGAACCCACUGAGGCAGAGCCUGAGGCUCUGUCACCAGUGCCAGCUCUAAAACCAACUCCAGAGCUCGAGCUAGCUCUAACACCAGCUCGAGCACCCAGCCCAGUGCCAGCUCCAGCCCCAGAGCCAGCUCCAACACCAGCUCCAGGUUCAGAGCUAGAAGUAGCUCCAGCACCAGCUCCAGAGCUCCAGCAGGCUCCAGAGCCAGCUGUGGGACUGGAACUGGCUCCAGCGCCAGCUCUGGAACUAGAGCCAGCUCCAGAACAGGAUCCAGCUCCCUCACAAACUCUAGAGCUGGAGCCAGCUCCAGCGCCAGUUCCAUCAUCAGAGCCUUCGUGGCCUUCACCUGUGGUUGCAGAGAACGGGCUGAGUGAAGAGAAGCCUCACCUCUUGGCGUUCCCUCCCGAUCUGGUGGCAGAGCAGUUUACACUGAUGGAUGCGGAACUGUUCAAGAAGGUGGUGCCCUACCACUGCCUGGGCUCCAUCUGGUCCCAGCGGGACAAGAAGGGCAAGGAGCACCUGGCGCCCACCAUCCGCGCCACCGUCACCCAGUUCAACAGUGUGGCCAACUGCGUCAUCACCACCUGCCUCGGGGACCGAAGCACGAAAGCCCCAGACAGGGCCAGGGUGGUGGAGCACUGGAUCGAGGUGGCCAGGGAGUGCCGGAUCCUCAAGAACUUCUCGUCACUGUAUGCCAUCCUCUCUGCCCUGCAGAGCAACUCUAUCCACCGUCUGAAGAAGACGUGGGAAGACGUUUCCAGGGACAGUUUCCGGAUCUUUCAGAAGCUGUCGGAGAUCUUCUCAGAUGAGAACAACUACUCAUUGAGCCGGGAGCUGCUCAUCAAGGAGGGGACCUCCAAGUUUGCCACCCUGGAGAUGAACCCCAAGAGAGCCCAGAAACGGCCAAAGGAGACGGGCAUCAUCCAGGGCACCGUUCCCUACCUGGGCACAUUCCUCACCGACCUGGUGAUGCUGGACACCGCCAUGAAGGACUAUCUGUAUGGCAGACUCAUCAACUUCGAGAAGAGGAGGAAGGAGUUCGAGGUGAUCGCCCAGAUCAAGCUGCUGCAGUCGGCCUGCAACAACUACAGCAUCGCGCCAGAUGAGCAAUUUGGGGCCUGGUUCCGGGCCGUGGAGCGGCUCAGCGAGACUGAGAGCUACAACCUGUCGUGUGAGCUGGAGCCCCCAUCCGAGUCAGCCAGCAACACCCUCAGGACCAAGAAGAACACAGCCAUUGUCAAGCGCUGGAGCGACCGCCAGACCCCCAGCACUGAGCUCAGUACCAGUGGCAGCUCCCACUCCAAGUCCUGUGACCAGCUCAGGUGUGGCCCCUACCUCAGCAGCGGGGACAUUGCUGACGCACUCAGCGUGCACUCGGCCGGCUCCUCUAGCUCCGAUGUGGAGGAGAUCAACAUCAGCUUCGUCCCGGAGUCUCCUGAUGGCCAGGAAAAGAAGGUGACUGCCUGCCCUUCUCCCCAGUAUCCUUUCCCAUCUCCCCACUCCAAAUCCAUGCACGUGGCCAGGAAGCCCUGGAUCCUGAACACAGCUUCUAGAAGGUUCCCCAUCUGGCAGCUGGCCUGGGGUGCCCCCACAGGGCAGGGGGAUCUGCUGAUCAUACCGUCUCCCUCAGUUCUGGGAAUCAGCCUCACAGUCAUCUCCGGAGACCUCCGGCAUCAGCUCGGCCUCCAGCAGCACCUCGUCCUCCUCAGCCUCCACCACACCCGUGGCUGCCACGCGCACCCACAAGCGCUCCGUCUCAGGGCUCUGCAACUCCAGCUCCGCGCUGCCGCUCUACAACCAGCAGGUGGGCGACUGCUGUAUCAUCCGCGUCAGCCUGGACGUGGACAACGGCAACAUGUACAAGAGCAUCCUGGUAAGCCGGGUGGGCGGCCUGGGUCCCUCCCUCCACUGGCGGCAAAUGCACCUUGAACACAGUGCACCAUCUCUGCCCUCCCGGGGCCCACCUUGUAGUUGAGGGGGGAAGGACAGAUGUCAGCCAGGUACAGAAAUGAAGAAGGUAGUGAUCAGGGACAAGGCUGGCCUGAGGGCAGAGGGGGAGGGAAGGAGUGGCCGUGCAGAGCUCCCAGGAGACGAAGGGGCGGUGCUGCGGGGGAGAUGAGGUCCGGGAAGUAUCCGGGGCCUGGCCACGUAGGCCCUGAGCACUGCCAGGACCUCGACUUUCUCGGGGAGGAAGACAGGAGCAAUGAUGGCUGGCUUCUCUGUCUGGCGUGGGCUGGUACCACAGCCACAGGGGUGUUGGUUAGGAGGCCGCUGUGGCAACCAGGCUGGGAGCCCUGGAAGGGGCCAGCAGGGUCAGAGUCUGGAUAGGAUUUGGAGACAGCCGAUGGGAAUUGCUCACAGAAUGGGUUUGCCUGGGGGCUCUUUCUUCAUCCUCCAGGUGUUCUGCGACAGAUGAACCAUUUGUAACCCCCACCCUCUGUACCCCAGCCCUGGGUCAGGUACCCCAUUAUUCACACACCCUCCCAACCCCUCGUUGCCAGGAGCUAGCAUGGUUGUCAUUAAGCAGUCACUUGUGGCCCUAUGUCCAAGUUCCGCCUGUGCUCUGGCCCUCAGGGUCAAGGUAGCAGGGGCCUGGCCUGUGCUCACCACACUGAGCAUCCUGGCUGGCCCCUCCUUUCUUAUCUCCAGGGCUUAGACUAGGGACUGUCUGUUCCCCAGGCUCAAUGAUGCUGUUAUCCUGGAGAGGCAAGUGCUGCCCAAGGAAGUGUGGGAGGAGGGAACAGGCUCUUAUAGGAGAGGCAGGGUAGGCACUGCUGGGACAGACCCCUCCUCAUUCCACGGAGGCCUCACGUGGGGAGCAGGAGAAGGACGGAGGCCUCACUUGGGGAGCAGGAGAAUGUGACAAGGCCCUCUCCGGACCCAGCACCUGGCCAGAGGCUGUGAGUGCCUGUGCUUAGUGCUGAGGGGACUCCAGAGGGUCCUUGGCCACUGCACUCUGGGGGAGCCGCUCCAGGGUCUUCUCCCUGAUGGUCCAUCCCCCGCCGCGAUGCAGGUGACCAGCCAAGAUAAGGCUCCAGCCGUAAUCCGCAAGGCCAUGGACAAACACAACCUGGAGGAGGAGGAGCCGGAGGACUAUGAGCUGCUGCAGAUUCUCUCAGAUGACCGGAGUAAGUCAGAAGACCAGAGGGCGAUGGCGGAGGGGGCAGGUCCGCACCACUCCCCUCCCCAGGUUGGAAGGCUUUGGCCCCAGAAAAUUCACCAGCAGAGUGUGGGUAGACACUGUGGACAGGGCAGCCCUGGCUGCCCCCAUUGUCUGCUUGCUGUCCGCAGCCACCACUGGACCUCCCCAGUGUGUGCCCUUCCCUAGGCGUGAACAGGCAGUUCAAAGCUCACAUCAGUGAGGAGCAAAGAGAAAAGGCAUUUUCACUGGGACAGGUUAGCCAGGUGGCCCACUGGAAGGGACGCUUUCUGGCUAAGAUAAAACAUGUGCUCUACAAAGAAUGGUGACUGCUGUGGACCAAAGUGUCGAGUGUUAAAAUCCAUGAGUGUAUGAUUCUAAAAGCAGAACAGGCUGCUAGGAGGCCAACUCAGUAUUCUAGAAACUGGGAAAGUGUCAAGAACCAGUGCAGGCUCAGAGUGGGGUGUGCUGGGCCUGGAGACGCUGUGCAAGGUCCUUAAGCCCUCUGUGCUCGUGUUCUCAUCCCCCAAAUGAAAAUGAAAGUAGCCAGUGUGUUCAUCGUAUAUAUAAAAAUCUGUAUGUAAGUGUAUAUGUGUGUAUAUAUAUAUAUGCAUGCAUACGUGUGUGUAUAUAUAUAUGCAUGCAUACGUGUGUGUAUAUAUAUGCAUGUAUAUAUAAAGCAUCUAUGUGCACCAUAAAAGUUAACCACAAAUACUAUCAUCGCUGCUUUCUUUCCAGUGAGCUGAACACCAUCCCCCACCAUUAGCCCAGACAGUAAGCAAUGACUCCUAUGAUCCCUAGAAGUUAUAGUCUAAAUCCUCUGGCAGCUUCUUGGCACCAUUUUGGUUAGGUGAGCAGGGUAGGUGGGAACCCCAUCUUACAGAGAAGGAAGACUGAGGCCUAGAGAGGUUAAAGAAGAUGAUGAAAAGCCACACGAUGUCGGCAGGAGCACAAAUCGAACCCAGCUCUGGUUUAUAGCAGGCUGUGGGCCAGAGGAGAUGGUGGGAAAUGGAGCCAAGAGGAAGUGCUUGCUGGGUGCCAGGGUUCAAGGAGUACAGGCCUCCCUGGAACGGACACCAGAGCCCUGGGGCAAGCCUGUCCUUUCCUGGUCCUUGGAGCCCUUGUCCUGAGUAGGGCAGGAUUCUGGGAGGUGACCUGGAUUCUAGAAAGCCUGUUCCAGCUGGGCAGCCAGCACUGCAGUAUGGGCAGGACGGGGUGACCCUCUGCCAGCUCAGGCCAAGCCGGGGGGGUUCUGGCAUCAGUCCCUGUUUAAACAAGAGUCAUCAGGUUUUGUGAGGACCUCAGCAGAGUCUGUCCUCAGGCAGGAGUCAUUGAGAGGGGUCCUUGGAGUCCUGGAGCUGUAUUGGAGGGGAUCUGAGGUCUGUGGCUCAAGACAGUCCUUGUAUGGGCUCUCAAGCGGUAGGGGUAUCCUGCAGGGCCCCCAGGAGCAUCACUGAUCACCCCUCUGCCCCUCCCCCACCAGAGCUGAAGAUCCCUGAAAACGCCAACGUCUUCUAUGCCAUGAACUCUACCGCCAAUUAUGACUUUGUCCUGAAGAAGCGGACCUUCACCAAGGGAGUGAAGGUCAAGCAUGGAGCCAGCUCAACCCUCCCUCGCAUGAAGCAGAAGGGACUCAAGAUUGCCAAGGGCAUCUUCUGAGGGCAUCUUCCCAGGGUCUGGCUGGCUGGUAGCCAAGCACUUAUGGACCAGAGUGGCCCAGGCCAGCUGGGCACCUUCCUACCACCUGCCAGCCCAGGGUACCCCAGACUCCAGUUUCAUCCUGAACCUCUCCUGCUGCUGGGAUUGACGCCUGCCAUUGGUCAGGCUGACCUGGCCUCCCGUGGACCACUCGCUGCCUUAGGUGCCUUCUGCUCUCUGGAACCAGAGGACUAGCUGACUUUUGCCAAGGAGCAGUGCCAACGGGCAUGGCAUGGUGCCCUGCCUGCCCCCAGGCACCACCUCUGUACACUUCCCUGACACCUUCCCAGGUGUGGGUCACUGCCACCUGUGCCCAUGGGCACCCCACAACACCCACCCACUCACCCACCGUGUCUGACCGCUGCAGUUCUCUCCUCAUGCCCACGGGCACUGGCCUGUGACCUUUGCAGGGGUCCCGGCCCCUCCCACCACUCUAGCCUUUCUCAGGCUGUACCAAAGAUUCCAUCAUCAGGGCCGACUGAGAGUGAGGGAGUCUCACCCACCACUUACCCCAGCCCUCCCCUGGGAGCAGAGAGAGAAACCCUCUUCAUGGACCAGACUCUGCACCCGGUGAGUGAGGACGGUCCCAGCUGAGUCCCAUAGAUGUUGAAUCUCAUGCCACUGCAAGUGCCAUUCACCACUGCAUCCUGGGCUUUACGAGACCAUGCAAGACGGGGGUUAGUGAGGAAGGAGGAUUUGGGGUGGGGGUGGGGUGACUGAAUAUUUGUAUAAAAAGCAAAAAGAAAAAAAAUGUUUACUGAUUGGGGAGGGGCAAUAUUUAUUUGUUGUAAAUAGCAAAUGUUAGACUUGAAUAUUAUAUUAAAAUCCUGUUUCUACUAUA